RNAcentral lists this transfer RNA (72 nucleotides) under Camelus bactrianus (Bactrian camel). It matches the Rfam family "tRNA". From Rfam's summary of the family: Transfer RNA (tRNA) molecules are approximately 80 nucleotides in length. Their secondary structure includes four short double-helical elements and three loops (D, anti-codon, and T loops). Lineage: Eukaryota; Metazoa; Chordata; Mammalia; Artiodactyla; Camelidae. RNAcentral also lists the same sequence under 2 other names. The record is from Rfam by way of RNAcentral.
GUGGGUAUAGCUCAGCAACAGAGCACGUGCUUAGCAUGCACAAGGUCCUGGGUUCAAUCCCCAGUACCUCCA